AGGGCUCCUACUUGUGACGAUUGGAAUUCUCAGAGCUUCUUCUUCCUUCCUUGACGUGAACGGCGCGGCGGCGUGACUCUCCGAUUGCUCUCUCUCCGUUCGUUUCUCGUUCGAUCUCAACUCGAUGCCACUCCGAGCGAACGGCUAGUUCAUGCGAUGGAGAUGAUGAACGUUGUUGUUGUGGGCGCGGAUUCGCGGAUGAGUAUCAUGAAGAUUGUUAAAUCGUGUUUGAGACGAGAGCGAAGACGAAGAUUGAAGUGUGGAUGAUGCGUGAACACGGUUCAGAGGAGCGUUGUUCUUCGUGGUUGUUUGUAGAGGAAGCGAUGAAGAACGUAGAGAGAGAUUGAAGAUGGUUCAGUGGUGGCUUUUUGAUGAGUUGGGGAAGAUAAUGAUUGAAGACUGAAGAAGCUUGCGUGUGGAGAUUGAACAGAAUAGAGAGGGAAUUGGAGAUGGAUUAAGGUUCCACGAGGGAGUUUUGAAAGAUGAAGAAGAAAGUGAUGGUGUGAGUCUAGAGAGAAGGUGUAAGAGUUGAAGGUUGGUGGUGAAGAAAAUAUAGUGGGCCUUUGUUCAAUUUCAUAACUGUUUUGGAAAUGGCAUGAGGUGGGAGUAGUUAUAUGGGACUGAUUUGAUUUUGGUGUUUGAAUGCAGCUUUGGGCUUGGCAGCAGCAGCCGUGGGU
This is a long non-coding RNA of Vicia villosa (hairy vetch), 677 nucleotides long. RefSeq lists it as uncharacterized. The record is from RefSeq and is a predicted model, not a curated record. Lineage: Eukaryota; Viridiplantae; Streptophyta; Magnoliopsida; Fabales; Fabaceae. The transcript has 3 exons.